RNAcentral lists this ribosomal RNA (311 nucleotides) under uncultured Pseudomonas sp. RNAcentral describes it as "bacterial SSU rRNA". It matches the Rfam family "Bacterial small subunit ribosomal RNA", at positions 1072 to 1382 of the family's 1533-position model. Lineage: Bacteria; Pseudomonadati; Pseudomonadota; Gammaproteobacteria; Pseudomonadales; Pseudomonadaceae. The record is from RNAcentral.
AUGUUGGGUUAAGUCCCGUAACGAGCGCAACCCUUGUCCUUAGUUACCAGCACGUUAUGGUGGACACUCUAAGGAGACUGCCGGUGACAAACCCGGAGGAAGGUGGGAUGACGUCAAGUCAUCAUGGCCCUUACGGCCUGGGCUACACACGUGCUACAAUGGUCGGUACAAAGGGUUGCCAAGCCGCGAGGUGGAGCUAAUCCCAUAAAACCGAUCGUAGUCCGGAUCGCAGUCUGCAACUCGACUGCGUGAAGUCGGAAUCGCUAGUAAUCGUGAAUCAGAAUGUCACGGUGAAUACGUUCCCGGGCCUU